GACGAACGCUGGCGGCGUGCUUAACACAUGCAAGUCGUACGGUAAGGCCCUUUCGGGGGUACACGAGUGGCGAACGGGUGAGUAACACGUGAGUAACCUGCCCACAACUUUGGGAUAACGCUAGGAAACUGGUGCUAAUACUGGAUAUGUUCUUCUGCUGCAUGGUGGGGGUUGGAAAGCUCCGGCGGUUGUGGAUGGACUCGCGGCCUAUCAGCUUGUUGGUGGGGUAGUGGCCUACCAAGGCGGCGACGGGUAGCCGGCCUGAGAGGGUGACCGGCCACAUUGGGACUGAGAGACGGCCCAGACGCCUACGGGAGGCAGCAGUGGGGAAUAUUGCACAAUGGGCGCAAGCCUGAUGCAGCAACGCCGCGUGCGGGAUGACGGCCUUCGGGUUGUAAACCGCUUUCAGCAGGGACGAAGCUUUUUGUGACGGUACCUGCAGAAGAAGCACCGGCUAACUACGUG
Molecule: ribosomal RNA, 465 nt
Filed under: uncultured bacterium
Lineage: Bacteria
Description: partial 16S ribosomal RNA
Rfam family: Bacterial small subunit ribosomal RNA
Source: RNAcentral